RNAcentral lists this long non-coding RNA (1526 nucleotides) under Homo sapiens (human). Its description in RNAcentral is "HSALNT0101670". The record is from RNAcentral. Lineage: Eukaryota; Metazoa; Chordata; Mammalia; Primates; Hominidae.
GGCAGUUUCCCAGUUGGAACCAGAGGCAGCAAACCCCUGCUUGUUUCCUGCUCUGACCAAGCCCAGGUCCCAGAGAACGUUGAUUUAAAUGUCAGUGGUGCGGUUUAUUUAGCUAUUUCAGGAACUGGAGCAUUACCACGGCCAUUGGCAACCAGAAAGCAGCUAGAGCUCAGGAGGGGUGGUGAGCUCCCCAAAGCACAAGGUCUUUUCUUCUUCAGAACUGUCUGGUGGACUGGCCAAGAAUGCUGACAGAGGUGAGAUGCCAGCUUCAGAGGUACCUGUUCUACCUCCCUGGGCUGCCUGCCAAGGAUGCCCUUGGUCUGCCAGAAAAAAAGUAUUGCUGCUUUGCCCUGAUACACACAGAAGUCUAGAUUCCAUUCAUACCAAUAUCGGUCCUUCCUCCCCCAUGAAGCAUGUGAGAUGCUCUCUCUCCAUCGCCAAGUUUCUUCUUUCUGCUGGUUUCUCUGGCAAAAAGGCAAGAGGCAAGAACUGAUGUGGGAAACAGUGGCAGAGAGUUAGAGAAAGCAGGUAAGUCCGAAGGCCAAAUCCUUUUGCUGGGCAGACUGGAGAGAGGGAGAGACAUUGAGUCACUGCAACCCAGUACCCUGACAUGACCCAGGAGUUAGUUGCCCAGCAAGCUUGACCCAACACUGGAAUGCUUCCCACAUCAACCUGCACUGUGGAAAAAUCCAGUUCCUUUUGCAGCAUAGGCUUCUCCUUCCUCCUCUCAUUAAAUGGAGAAUGUUUAAUAGAGCGAUUGCAGGCUUUCAUCCAAAGCAACAAAUAGCUAGCACGGCUGGCUCUCGAAACGCUAGCAGGAUGUCAACAUGGGAGCCUUGGAGAAAUUUUUCUUGAAGAGUACUUAAGUCAAUAAUACCAAGGAGAAUGCAAAGACUACAAGACUUCAGAGUCACAGCUGGCUACAAACCCACCCCCUGCACCCAGUACCACUAGCUGGAGACACUGGAAGAUGCUCUUGUUAUUCUCGGAUCACCGCCUACCCCCAAAACCCAUCCUCCCUGCUGCCUUACCUGAGAAGUUGAACCCCAGAGACAGAAAGGAUCACCUGCACUCCUUGUACUGGGCCUUCCCAUCGGCCAACGUGUGGCAUGAACGAGGCUGCAUCCCUCUUCCAUAGCACCUGCACUCGUAGGCUCUGCAAAUUUCAUCCCCACCUUUGGCCCUUCAGGCCUAGGGCAAGUCACAGCUCCCCAGAACUGUUCAUCCCCAGGUGUCUCGCCAUCCCUAGAUAGCACCUGUAAGCCUGACUACACCUCUGUAAAGCGUGCCCUUCAUUAAAUUUUCUUCUGUUAAACCCUUUGGAGUGGGUCUUGGUUUUCCUGCCAGAACCAUGACUGACAUGGACAGUUACUUAACCUCUCUGAGUAUUGACUUCUUUGCCUCUAAAAUGAGGAUGAAAAUAUUUACUUGGCAAGGUUAUGGCAAAGGUUAUGUGAGAUGACCUCUAUGGAGCAUCCAUUAUGUGUCUGGCACUAUACGAUGCAUUUUACAUGCAUGAAUUCUCC